GCAGAACUCACCCCCGUGACCUGGCAACAGCCUGGCCCAGGGCACCCUGUUGUCACAGCGCCUUUGGCAGCUGGAUCUCUGGCGAUACCAAGUACUUUAAUCACUACUGUAUGACUUCCAUUUUUUUUCCUUCUCUCAAGCAACUGGGGUUCAUGCUGCAGCCACUGUUUGUACCUGAUCAAUUCAGCUCAGACACUACCAGCCAUCUACAACUAUCUCACAUUUCUGUGCGUACCGAGUCUGCCAAUAUCUUACGACUUCUUUAAUUUCUUCACCAAGAAAAUGGCUGUAUCUGAGAACAUGCUACAAUAGAGCUACGUCCCAUGUGCGCAGGGAAAUCAAGAAGUUCACUUCAGCGCUUCCAGCCAGCACCUGAGCCAGCAGCACAGGAAACGCUCCCCGAGACAUGACACCUCUGCGGAGAACAGACCGCUGCCCGGCUUACCUGCAGCACCACAAGACUCAGGAACAACCUGGUUUGUGUCUACAACUUAGGAAACUUGUCAUAUGCUCAUAAACAAGGAGCCUUUGCUGCCGUGAAACAGAGAAGACAACAGAAAAACAUCACAAAGAAAAAGCAAAGCUCAUCACCUUGAAGUUCCUGCUGUGCACUGGGCAUUUAAGCUGAAAUGGCCUCUUUUCCCAAAAAGAAUUUGAAAUGCAAUUCGUACCUGAGCGUGUAUUAGACUUAAUCAAUAGGCAGCUAGGGAUCAAAUGUUCAAACCUGGCAGCACCCAGCAGUUCUCCUUAUGACCUGAAUGUCCAGUUUAUCAGGAAUUGAAGCAACUAGAACA
Long non-coding RNA from Columba livia (rock pigeon), 794 nucleotides. RefSeq lists it as uncharacterized. The transcript has 3 exons. The record is from RefSeq and is a predicted model, not a curated record. NCBI's taxonomy places the organism in Eukaryota, Metazoa, Chordata, Aves, Columbiformes, Columbidae.